CUGACACCUGCGUGGUUCCCAACACACAAAAGAAAACAGCGUCAUUCAGGAGCCGCCGUACACCGAGGCAGCAGUGGCGAAAAAAAGUGCGAUAGGCACUGCCUGAUCCACCACCAACGCCACAUCUCUACCCGGAACCGGGUGUAAAUCUUCACUCCAAGAACGGGGGGAAAAAUGCCGCCGAAGACGGCGACAGCCGCGGCAGGCGGCCAGCAGAGGGAGAAGGGCAAGAAGGAUGGAGCUGCAGCCGCUGACCCGGUCAAGGAGCUGCGCAACAUGGAGGACAUCCACGAGGUUCUAGCCAAGGCGCAGCAGCUGCGCAACUACUUUCAGGCAGAGCGCGAUAAGGUGAACGGCAUGUGGGACAUCACCAAAAAGGAGCUCGAGAAUGAGCAGUUCAGCCUGCAGAACGCCGAAAGCGAGCUGGAGGAGUUGGAACGCGAGCAUCAAGUGGAGAUGAAGGUCUACCAGCAGAAGGUGCGCCAUCUCCUGUACGACCAGAAGGUUGCCGUGAAGCAACUGCGCGACGAGAGCGACGCGGCACUGCGGCAGGCUGAGGCGGCGCACACCCAGCGGAUGCAUCAACUAGAGGUGGAACGGCAACGGCGCAUGACUGGUAUGCAGUCCGCUCGUGAGGCCCAGGAAAGUCGAAUCGUAGAUCAGCGCGAUGGUCACCAGUACAUGCUGACGGUCACGAAGCGUCGCAACCACGAGAAGGAGCUGGCGCGAUUGCAGGCCUCGUACGAGGCGAAGCUGAGCACGCUGCGCGAGGACCUGGAACUGCGACGCCGAGCCGAGGUCCAGGAUGCGGAAGAGCGAUACAACCUCCACAUCAACCACCUUAUCCAGCAGCACGAGGACAAGUUCAAUGAGAUGAAGGCCUACUACAACCACAUCACGCACAACAACCUUGAAAUAAUCCAGUCCCUUAAGGACGAGAUUGCCACCAUGAAGAAAAACGACGAGCACAACGAGGGCCUGAUGUUCGAGAUCGAGAAGGAAAACGAGAACCUCGUAGCACCGCUGGAGCAGUUAGAGAAGGAGGUGGCGGAGCUUCAGGUCAAGAAGCAGCAGCACAUUCAGGACAAGCAAAGCUUGCGUAGCUUCCGCACCCGAUACAAGUUGCUUCAGCAACAGCUGUGCGCGCUGCGGCAGGAGAAGGAGAUGCUGGAGGAUCAGUACAAGAACGUCUAUGACGAGCGCGAGGACCUGCGCGCGAAGUUCGAGUCCGCCUUGCGGGAGGCAAUGGAUGUCGUCGCUGAUCGCAACAACUCGCUGCAGCAGAACCUGAUCGAGGCGCACGCGCGGCUGGAGCAGCGCGACGCACAGCUGGAGGGUGUGCUGCGUGCCAUGGGCCUGGAGCCGGCCGCGAUGGAGCUGAUAUCGAACGAGAUUGACGCCGAGGUGCAGACGAAGAAUCAAGUCAUCAAGGACCUGCACUUCGAGAUGCGCCGACUGGAGAAGAAGGUGAACGCCAUGGUCGAGGAGUACGAGCGCCGCUGCCGUGCCGUUGGCGUACCACCGCUCGACCGUGCAAGCGUCAUGCAGGUGUAAAGACGAGAAGAGGGCGAAUGGAAAAAUACGAAAGGGGAACCGCUGAAGGAUCGCGCCUUCGUUAGGCGACCACCCUGUACUCGUCCGUUGCUUUCUCCAUGACCUCGUUUCCCGGCAACGGUGUUCUCCGAGGGCUGUGUGCGUAUAGGCAGGUCGUGUGAGGCUGCCGCCCUACUCCCACCUGCUCUCUGCAUGCCUGCUGGUGCUUCAGCGAUUCCGGCAUCACGGGCUCGCAGCUUCAUCUUCUCGUCUUCUCCUUCUUUGCCCUUUCGGUGCACAGUGUGCGUCCCUCCCGCUCUCUCUCUCUGGUUUCUUUCUGUUCUUUUUUCGUCCCCGCUUUGUUGCUGCGUGGGACUGACAACUCUGGCGCUUGUGUGUGCGGUCUGCCAUGAGGGACGUCUGAUGGUCUGUGGUUG
Molecule: unclassified non-coding RNA, 1970 nt
Filed under: Leishmania donovani
Lineage: Eukaryota; Euglenozoa; Kinetoplastea; Trypanosomatida; Trypanosomatidae
Description: gene:LdHU3.36.2600(CDS-product:T-lymphocyte_trigg ering_factor_putative)
Source: RNAcentral